AGUUGGAAGAGUCCUCAGCUGCAGUACAACUCUAAGAAUGGCUUGGCCAGGUCAAUAAAGGCCCCCUUUUAAGGAGGUCCCAGUUUGGACAGACAUGGCCUGCUCUUGUGCCACUGCUGUGCUCAGCCACUGGUGGGAAGCAGUCGAGAAAAGAACCAUCUCUCUCUACUCUGCAUGAAAAGUUUUUAUUAUUUGAUGCCCUAUCCUUAUGCUUCUGGCCUUGGAUUUACAAACACCACAUUUUUAUAUGAAAAGAUAUUUUAUACAAGAAAAAAUACAGACACCAAAAGAAUUAAAACUAGUUUCUCUGGAUUUCAGGCACCUUUAUUUGUGGCAGAUGUUUUUGGCCAGGGGGGCUUGCCCCUGAAGCCUGACAUUUAAGGAAGACACUAUCCUUCCAUCCAAGAGCAGCCCUAUCACCUCUGCUUGCCACUCAUGAGGCUUGGAAGCAUCCUGCACACAGGCUUCUGCUGGCCCUGCCCAGGUGGAGUGGGGCAUUGCAGGGCGAGCUCAGGUCUUACCAUUGGCCUGAUCACAGGGCUUUGCAGUUGGAGAACAAUCGUGGCAACUUCAUUUUCUUACAGAAAAA
This is a non-coding RNA of Heterocephalus glaber (naked mole-rat), 589 nucleotides long. The record is from RefSeq and is a predicted model, not a curated record. NCBI's taxonomy places the organism in Eukaryota, Metazoa, Chordata, Mammalia, Rodentia, Bathyergidae.